Molecule: ribosomal RNA, 583 nt
Filed under: uncultured bacterium
Lineage: Bacteria
Description: partial 16S ribosomal RNA
Rfam family: Bacterial small subunit ribosomal RNA
Source: RNAcentral
UGGGGAAUCUUCCGCAAUGGACGAAAGUCUGACGGAGCAACGCCGCGUGAGUGAAGAAGGUUUUCGGAUCGUAAAACUCUGUCUUUUGGGGCGAACGUGAGUAUGGUGAACAAUCAUAGUCAGUGACGGUACCAAAGGAGGAAGCCACGGCUAACUACGUGCCAGCAGCCGCGGUAAUACGUAGGUGGCAAGCGUUGUCCGGAAUUAUUGGGCGUAAAGAGCGCGUAGGCGGGACAGUCAGUCUGUUGUAAAGUGCGGGGCUCAACCCCGUGAUCGCAAUGGAAACAGCUAUUCUUGAGUGCAGGAGAGGAAGUGGAAUUCCCAGUGUAGCGGUGAAAUGCGUAGAUAUUGGGAGGAACACCAGUGGCGAAGGCGACUUUCUGGACUGUGUCUGACGCUGAGGCGCGAAAGCCAGGGGAGCGAACGGGAUUAGAUACCCCGGUAGUCCUGGCCGUAAACGAUGGGUACUAGGUGUGGGAGGUAUCGACCCCUUCCGUGCCGGAGUUAACGCAAUAAGUACCCCGCCUGGGGAGUACGGUCGCAAGACUGAAACUCAAGAAUUGACGGGUCAUAGCUGUUCCUG